Molecule: long non-coding RNA, 254 nt
Filed under: Elaeis guineensis (African oil palm)
Lineage: Eukaryota; Viridiplantae; Streptophyta; Magnoliopsida; Arecales; Arecaceae
Description: long non-coding RNA (EGUI_LNC070504)
Source: RNAcentral
ACACCACCAUCGAAGAUCCCUCAGCAACAGUCGGCGAUCAUCAGUAUAAAGCAAUUCAACCUGCUAUUCCAGUAGGUCCAGAAUCUGACCACCACCAUCCAGACCAGGUAGCAUAUUACAAAUGCGCAGGUAGCGAUAAUGGCAGUGCAUCAGAUGAGCCACCACACCUGUACUGAUAACAGUGGUCCAGCCACCGAUGCCAUGCUAGUUGGGGAGUCUCACCCGAUGGUGCCUCUACAAUGACCAGCUCUACC